Molecule: microRNA, 23 nt
Filed under: Callithrix jacchus (white-tufted-ear marmoset)
Lineage: Eukaryota; Metazoa; Chordata; Mammalia; Primates; Cebidae
Also listed under: 1 other name
Description: cja-miR-103b
Gene: cja-miR-103b
Source: miRBase by way of RNAcentral
UCAUAGCCCUGUACAAUGCUGCU